UUCUAAGCUUUGCGAUAUCAUCAAGUUCAUCCCGUGCUUUGUCGCUUGACAAGCGCUUGACAGACAAAAUGUCCACUUGUGAUUAUACGCGUAGCGUUCGAGACAACUGCCGAUUAGCAGACAACAAGCAACAAGUUCUAGAACCUACGCCUCACUGACUUAAUAGAGUAUGUUACCAUCCAGUUUUUGACCAGCAACAACGGCAACAACCAGCAGCAGCGGCAGCUACACGUGGUCGAGAAGAGAUACUGGUAAUACAACUAUGAGCGCGUAUUUUAGACCAACAACCUCUCGACCUUUUAAAAUAACAAAAGCAAUAGCCAUCCAAGCAUUGUCCCUGCAAAACACAUUGUUUGCCAGCGGAGC
Molecule: long non-coding RNA, 366 nt
Filed under: Bactrocera tryoni
Lineage: Eukaryota; Metazoa; Arthropoda; Insecta; Diptera; Tephritidae
Description: uncharacterized LOC120772042, transcript variant X4
Source: RNAcentral